AUCUGAAGGAAAACGCUAUUGAUAAUGAAAUGGGGUUUAUUGAAUUAACUGUUCCAUUUAGCAGACACAUGAGCAGAACCCAGGAUGGAAGAAUGUAAUCACCAGCGUGACUCCAGUGAUGGAACUGAACUAGAUGUGGAGACUGGGGAGCAGCAGAGUCAACUCAGUUAUCAUCUCGGCGGCCGGGCUGCCGUCCAGCUCGCAGAAGCCAUCUGAUCUGGAAAAGAUUUCCAACGCCUGCUGGAGCUGUUUCCAUACAGGCAGAGGCCAGUGUCAUCUCCAGCACCUGGGAGACAUAAGAGAAAGAGCCAGUGGCCUUCCUCCGAGACAAUCUCAAAUGAAUAUGCUUGACCCAGACAAGGGAAGGAUCACACAGACUCUGUCGAGGAAGCUGGCCACUGCCUUUGAAGAAGUUGGCCCAACACUGCUGUUCCAGAAGAAAGAAGCCUCGUCAGCAGUGUAAGUGUGACGGUCGGUCUCCUUGCACAAUUGCCCGGUUUUGGUUGGUUUGUUCCCCCACCUUAUUGCUAUUUAAAUACAGUUUUGAUGAUUUUGUUUGCUUUGGAAGAAGAAAAUAAAGAUUCACAGAAGGUAUAAAAUUGCAUGUUAUUUACC
RNAcentral lists this long non-coding RNA (615 nucleotides) under Rhinopithecus bieti (black snub-nosed monkey). RNAcentral's name for it is "lncRNA (ENSRBIG00000046159.1)". Lineage: Eukaryota; Metazoa; Chordata; Mammalia; Primates; Cercopithecidae. The record is from RNAcentral.